CUUCCUUACUAGAAAAUAUAAGAUAAGUGGGUCUAUUGGUACAUGGGCACAUCCCGCUGGUUUCACGCAAAGGAUGUUAAUUCACCUCUCCUCUGCUUUUGGCCCAAAAUGCCUGUUCCUGCCAAGUGUGCUGUGGGAACGUGUGUUAAAUGUUACUGUCACUUUUAGUAUAUGAAAGAUGAUAAAUACUGUGGAGACAAGCUGUGAAGAAUGAAGACAAGAAGCUGAUGUUUGGUGUGAAUGAAGAGGGGGCAGGCUGUGAAAAGUGAAAUCACAUGCUCGGAGCAAAAGGCUAGGAAACUUUUCUUCACCAUAAUGUUAUGAAUGGAAAUAGGUAGCAAUGUUAUAUUUGACAAAUUUGUAGAAGAUGAUGUUAGUUGAGACGGGAGAUGGUGAGAGCCUGGAGGAGUGUUUUAGGUUAUGAAUGAGAAUAAAAGUGUAAAAUGUAUAACCGUAAAGUAGAAAGAUGGAGUAAGAAUCAAUUCGGAAUUCAGCUGAAGGCUGUGCCAAGGCCAUGGACCUGAGGAGCUGCAGAAGAGGCAAGAUAGUGGUAUUUCCAUAGUGACAGAAAAAGAGGAACUUCACAGAAGCAAAGAAGAGCCCUACUAUGACUGUGCCACUCUUAAGCAGAUGGCUGAAACAUGGAGCAGUUUUUGUUGGUAUAGAACCAGACAGUGAUCUGUCUUUUCCUGCUGAGUGUUGGGUGAUACAGACCUACAUGUCUAGACCCAGGAGAGCUCACCCACAAGGCUUAGUCCAGUUGCCUGUUGCAGGACAUCAACUUUACGAUGGAUCAAAGCCCUCAAUAUAGAACAAAUAUUUGGUGCCUUCUAAGCUCCACCAAACUGUGGCGAGAUACAGUAGCAAGAAGCCUGCCCCUACUGUCUAAGGAAUUAAAAUUGUACUGCAUGAAAACUAAUACUUACAAAAUAGGAAUUUAUGAAUUUUAGUAUAAAAAUUAUUUAUCUGGAUCAAACCUUUCUUGCAGCUAAAAGAUGGAAUUGUUGCUUUACUUUAAAUGUGUAAUUGCUUAUUUCUAAUUUUUACUGAUGAUUGUUUAUGAAGCAUGUAGGAGUGGGAGAACCUGAGCUUACACAUCCCUCAGUCUGUUGUAGAGCAGUUUGAAGAGGGCUGCAGGCAGCAUCACUGCACCUGAAACUCAUACAACCAAGCUUCAUGGAUGAUCAUUGCAGAGACCUUUACUUCUCAUGGUUCUUGUAUGAGAUAGAGGGCCAGAGAUACCAUUACAGAGCUGUGAGCCUGAGGUUUAUUGUGCUCAUAAAGUAAUGUGAUUGAUAAAUUAUUCUGUCGAUUUUUGAUAUCAUGUUUUUGUAUUAUGAUGCCUCCAAUAAAAAAAGCAGUAUUACAGUCUUGAGAGUUACA
This 1383-nucleotide long non-coding RNA is filed under the name Parus major (Great Tit). RNAcentral describes it as "lncRNA (ENSPMJG00000014670.1)". Lineage: Eukaryota; Metazoa; Chordata; Aves; Passeriformes; Paridae. The record is from RNAcentral.